Molecule: ribosomal RNA, 41 nt
Filed under: Cortinarius sp. H36
Lineage: Eukaryota; Fungi; Basidiomycota; Agaricomycetes; Agaricales; Cortinariaceae
Description: partial 28S ribosomal RNA
Source: RNAcentral
GUGACCUCAAAUCAGGUAGGACUACCCGCUGAACUUAAGCA